GCCUUCCUCGUCAUUCUGCUUUUUCUUCUAUUUCCUUCGGUGAGUUAGAGAGAAAGUUGAGAGUGAGAAACAGAGGCGAAUUAGAUAAAGAAUUGAGAGAAAUAAUCGAGUUUUAGGAGAGAAACCCAGAGACGGGGGUGUACGUGUGCGUGCGAACGGGAUAGUGGGAAGCAUGGCUUCUUCCCGUGUGAGUUAAACCUUCUUCUACUAUUUUCCGGUAGUUCAGACAUUCCUCUCAUCCAUCACAUCGUUCAUUUUAACCUAGCUUCACGAGUCUCGUUUUAGGUUCGACAGAAGUCCUCUUUGCAACCAAAACAGAGCCAAGGAGGGAACUGCUUCUUUCCUUUGUUUUCUAGCUGUUCCUUUUCAGUUUCAUUCCAGUUCUAGAUUAGGAAUAGUUACUUUUGGUCCUAGGAUAACCCUUAAUUGAAUCCUUACGGUGUAAUCAUCCCAAAACUCGGAGAUUCAACCCAGAAACUGUCAUACACCGCUGCUACUGCACUAGUGCGCUGUAGAGGAGGAAUCGUCUUCCUUCAGAUUUAAGCCUCCCAAAUCGUGCAGCAAGCUUCAAACAGAAGCGUUCCCCUGUUGCUGUCAACUGAACGCCUACUGCAGGUAGGUGAGCUUUUCCUGUCUUUUCUGCCCUUCUUCUUCAGUUUCCUUUCAAUAAGUAAGUGGUUAGGGAUAUAUUUAUGUGUUAGGAACCUGACCCAAUGAUUGCAUGUAGUAGAUUCUCUUGAAAACAUUGCAGAAUCAUUUAUAACUCACUCAACUUUGUAGACGCUGUCAUGGCAUGUUGUAGAAAAUUUCUUAAUGUUUGGGAACAAAUGGCUCGUGCGUUUAGCUUCAAGCUUGGUUUCCAUCAAGAUGAGGAAGAUAAUGAGGAACUGAUCGCUGACCUACUCCUUAAAGUUUUUGAGGAUCUCGUGGAUCCAUAAACUUUUAUAAGUGCAUGACUUGUUUCGCACUCUAAUGAGUCCAUUUACAUAAUGAUAGAAGUGAUCAUCUUUUGUAUUUUGUUAUUUUGUAUUUUGUCG
Carica papaya (papaya) is the source of this 1037-nucleotide long non-coding RNA. RefSeq lists it as uncharacterized. NCBI's taxonomy places the organism in Eukaryota, Viridiplantae, Streptophyta, Magnoliopsida, Brassicales, Caricaceae. The record is from RefSeq and is a predicted model, not a curated record.